RNAcentral lists this ribosomal RNA (775 nucleotides) under Moraxella sp. A2a-1. RNAcentral describes it as "bacterial SSU rRNA". It matches the Rfam family "Bacterial small subunit ribosomal RNA", at positions 97 to 873 of the family's 1533-position model. The record is from RNAcentral. Lineage: Bacteria; Pseudomonadati; Pseudomonadota; Gammaproteobacteria; Moraxellales; Moraxellaceae.
GGCGGACGGGUGAGUAACAUUUAGGAAUCUGCCUAGUAGUGGGGGAUAGCUCGGGGAAACUCGAAUUAAUACCGCAUACGACCUACGGGUGAAAGGGGGCGCAAGCUCUUGCUAUUAGAUGAGCCUAAAUCAGAUUAGCUAGUUGGUGGGGUAAAGGCCCACCAAGGCGACGAUCUGUAACUGGUCUGAGAGGAUGAUCAGUCACACCGGAACUGAGACACGGUCCGGACUCCUACGGGAGGCAGCAGUGGGGAAUAUUGGACAAUGGGGGCAACCCUGAUCCAGCCAUGCCGCGUGUGUGAAGAAGGCCUUUUGGUUGUAAAGCACUUUAAGCAGGGAGGAGAGGCUAAUGGUUAAUACCCAUUAGAUUAGACGUUACCUGCAGAAUAAGCACCGGCUAACUCUGUGCCAGCAGCCGCGGUAAUACAGAGGGUGCGAGCGUUAAUCGGAAUUACUGGGCGUAAAGCGAGUGUAGGUGGCUCAUUAAGUCACAUGUGAAAUCCCCGGGCUUAACCUGGGAACUGCAUGUGAUACUGGUGGUGCUAGAAUAUGUGAGAGGGAAGUAGAAUUCCAGGUGUAGCGGUGAAAUGCGUAGAGAUCUGGAGGAAUACCGAUGGCGAAGGCAGCUUCCUGGCAUAAUAUUGACACUGAGAUUCGAAAGCGUGGGUAGCAAACAGGAUUAGAUACCCUGGUAGUCCACGCCGUAAACGAUGUCUACUAGCCGUUGGGGUCCUUGAGACUUUAGUGGCGCAGUUAACGCGAUAAGUAGACCGCC